This 497-nucleotide ribosomal RNA is filed under the name uncultured bacterium. Its description in RNAcentral is "partial 16S ribosomal RNA". It matches the Rfam family "Bacterial small subunit ribosomal RNA", at positions 28 to 507 of the family's 1533-position model. The record is from RNAcentral.
GAUGAACGCUGGCGGCGUGCUUAAUACAUGCAAGUCGAGCGAACAGACGAGGCGCUUGCUCCUCUGACGUUAGCGGAGGACGGGUGUGUAACACGUGGAUAACCUCCCUAUAAGACUGGGAUAACUUCGGGAAACCGGAGCUAAUACCGGAUAAUAUCUUGCAGCGUAUGGUUCAAUAGUGAAAGACGGUUUUGCUGUAACUUAUCGAUGGAUCUGGGCCGCAUUAGCUAGUUGGUAAGGUAACGGCUUACCAAGGCAACGAUGCGUAGCCGAACUGAGAGGCGGAUCGGCCGCCCGGGAACUGAGACGCGGACCAUGCGCCUACGGUAGGCAGCAGUAUGGAAUCUGCGGCAGUGGUCGAAAGCCUGACGGAGCAACGCCGCGUGAGUUAUGAAGGUGUUCGGAUCGUAAAGCUCGGUUAUUAGUUAAGAACAAAUGUGUAAGUAACUAAGCACGUCUUGACGGUACCGAAUCAAAAAGCCACGGCUAACUACGUG